ACUGCCUCAUGGGACCCCGGCUUCUAGAUGCUGUCGCUGUGGCCAGUCCACCGCUGCCAGCAAGCUCCCUGGACCAGCCCUGUCUCACUGGCCACAGGCUGAAGACUCAAGGCCCUGAGAGGGCAUCUGAGAGCAAUGACCUGGUCUUUUCAGCUCACUUGAUGGCAGGUUUCCCAAACACAGGAGGGAGACUCAGCUGCACUGAGGAAUAAAUAUAUUACAGGCUCUCUGAGGAGUGGAAGACUAUACAGCUGUGCAAAAGGACUUCAGGGACCCCUCGUGUGCUGACGUGAAAGAGAUGCAAGACACACCAUCAACUUGGACAAAUGUGGAACAAUCGUGCAUUGAAUACUCACUGUUGUCUAUUGAGUCUCCGUUUCCCACGUGUUCUUUCCCCAAAUGACCCAGAGGUUCCUUUGGGACCUAACCCCCACCCCCUCCACUGGGCAGCAGCCCCGGGUGACCCCUGGGAGGGGCCCAGGGGAGCCCCAGUUACGGGUUUGGGGUGCGCAUGGUUGGGGGUGAGGAGCUUGUGGCCCAUGUUGAUGCUUCUGUUGGGGGAGGGGAUUUGUGGGCAACUUUCCCCCCUGAGGACACUGGUGUAUCCUUUGGGCAAGGAGAGGUUUUUGUUUGUUUGUUUUCUUGUAAUUUAUUCAAUUUACUUUUUCAUGGAGGUGAAAAUGUCACAUAAUGAAGUCUUUUUAAAAAGCCGUUUCCCCCUGCUCAGGCCCUCAGCCUCUAGGUUAUGGCCACAGCCUCACACAAAGCAGCUCAGACCUCCUGAAAUGGCCAGAAUUCAGGAGGACUGGUUGGUGCCUCACCCAUGUGGCCCUGGGUGAAGGUGGUAGGCCCCGGGGCCUCAGGGAGCGCUGGACAGGAAAGGUCUGAUGUGGCAGCAGCUGAUGUGCCGAAGGAAUGUCGCUGGUGGGGACGCCAGGAGCUCAGAGCCAAGCAUGUGGUCGUUGCAAAAUGUCAGGGAAAGAAUGCAGAGCCCUUCUCCCAGCUCCCUGGUCCCCACACAGUCGCUGCCCGAGUGCCAGUCCGAUCCGUCUGCACAGAUGCCCGCACCAGAUAUAUGCGUUCAGGCUGUCAGGACAGGAGGCUCUCCUGGAGGCUCCUCCAGGCUGAGCCAGGGUCUCUGCCUGCAGGAGACAAGCACGUGACCGGCAGAGAUGGCAGAGACAGAGAAAGAAGGACCCACACACCCGGAGAGAGGAGCAGUUGGAACCGGUUUGGAGGAAUCAUGGGGAGCCGGCUGCAGGCUGUGAUCUAAAGAGAGAAAAGGUACUGUUCUAUCACCGUCUCUUGUUUUCAAAGCCCAAACACAGAACACGCAUCUCAACUGAGCUCCCCACAGCAUGACUCUGGGGAAAGAGGUGAGGAGAAAAGCAAGUAGAUGCCUGGUGACUGGAGUGGCUGGGCCAUGGAGGUGGGCCUUGGCAGAUGGUGUAGAGAGACUGAGGAGAGCCUUCAUGAGAAACUGGGGUGUGGUGGGGAUGAGGCGAGCCUGGGUGCUUUUACGCUAUCAGCACAUUUCAUGGCAAUAAACUUGGCCUCGUUGCUAUAAAAACCUUCAGCUCAAGACACACAGCCUUUCUUGUUUUCUUUAUUGAAGGUUAACUUUUCACAAGUUAAAUUUCCUCCUACUCAUCCAGCCUCAUCAAGGAGCUUUGGCACAUAGAGCUUUGCUGAGCGUGAUAAAAGAAAGGCUCAAAAAAAAAAAAAAAAAAAAAAAAAAAAAAAAAAGACGAGCAUUCCGAGUGUGUUUCUGGGAAAAGCAUGUUCAGCCAACUCACUCUGUAGCCUUCCGUUCGCCUGCUCGGCUCCCAGACUCAGGCCCACCCUCAAGUGUGUGGGCAGCAGGGUCUGCCCCACCCCUGCUCGGGGCCACAGAACUUAACUUCAGAGCAGCUGGUUGGAGCCCAGUCCGAAGGCUGAUCCCAGAAUGGUGGUUCCCAGUCUGCCCCUUCUGUGAGAAACGAGCAAAACAAGGAAGAUGUCUCAAUCUUUUCAGAGUGGGAUCUCUGCAGCUGAUGCGGCUGGCUCUUGUUGAGACAUUGGGUCUCUGUGCGGUUUGCUUUCCCCAGCGAAUCAAAGACAACCCCAGUGCUCACUUCAGCAGGACACAUACUACAAUUGGAAUAAUACAGAGAUUAGCACAACUCCCGAUAAUUCCCUUAAUGGGAGGGGCUGCCCUUGCACUAAGGAGGACACACAUGUUCUUGACGCCUUCCCUGGUGGCUCAGAAGCAUGCAUGCAGGAUCUUAGUUUCCUGAUUGGGGAUCAAACCCACGACCCCUGCAGUGGAAGCUUGGAGUCUUAACCACUAGACCAUCGGGGAAGUCCCUGCAUUUUCUAUAUGAAUAAAAUCAUCUUUGCAAAAAGGA
Long non-coding RNA from Bubalus bubalis (water buffalo), 2387 nucleotides. RefSeq lists it as uncharacterized. The record is from RefSeq and is a predicted model, not a curated record. The transcript has 3 exons. NCBI's taxonomy places the organism in Eukaryota, Metazoa, Chordata, Mammalia, Artiodactyla, Bovidae.